Daphnia magna is the source of this 1412-nucleotide long non-coding RNA. RefSeq lists it as uncharacterized. The record is from RefSeq and is a predicted model, not a curated record. The transcript has 9 exons. NCBI's taxonomy places the organism in Eukaryota, Metazoa, Arthropoda, Branchiopoda, Diplostraca, Daphniidae.
CCUUGUAUUUUGUGUUUUAAUUUUAAUCACUCAUCUAUAUUACAUGAGCAAAACAUAUAUUGCCGAAAGAAAACAGAUACCUUUGGACAAUGGUUACACCAAGGGCAGUGAAUGCAUUUCUCUUUUCACCAUUGGUCAGCUGACUUGCCUUCCCAGUUGCAAUGAAGAAGAAUGAUUAGUCAAAAGUAUUAAAAGGCUGUAGGCCGUACUGAUCAAAACAAAUUUAAACAAACGAUCAUUUUUUUAACAAUCAUAAAGGAAACAAGCAACAGUUAUGGUUCGUUUGGUUGGAGCCCUUUGUCAACAAAGGGAGAGAGGACGAAGUCAAACGUAUCCGAAAGGUACGGGGUUACAAGAUGGAAGCUUAGCCACGGUUUAUUGUCAAACAAAUAGACACGACUGUCGGAGCCCUUUGUGCGCAGGGCAUUUGACGAACCGGGCACUCAAAUGACGCUAAAGACUUUUCACUUUGCUUGUGUGGCACCGAUGAACAUCACACAGGAACUUUCUGGAUUAAGGAAAUCAUUAACGCCCUAAAGGCCUUUAGUACACCUGUUAUCUCCACCCAGCUUCUAAUUGUUGACGACCCGGAAUAUGCGCGACAAGUUAAAGGAAGGAUCGAAAACAAUUUUCGGAGAACUAAAUUAAACAAUUUUUCGUUAUCAAUAUUUUUCAAUUGUCUUUUUAUGUGACGGGAUAUUUCGAUGAAGUAUAACUGCCUGAUUAUUUUUAAUGUCGAUUAAAUUAGACAUUAACCGAAUCCGCUUGCUAAAACUCGAGGUGGCUGCAAAUUCUAUCUAGUAGAGCCUCUGUAUACAUGUAAACUGAAAAUAAAGCCUGCUUUCAUCGAAGUCAUUAGUGAAACAAUACAAAUUGUAAAGCUGUGCUCCAUCUGCAAAAUCGUCAAUGUAUCUGUGAGGCAGUACCUCAAAGAACAAUUGCCUAGGGACUUCAUACAGGGUUUGCCAACUGCUAGCCGAGCUGUCAUCAACAUCGACGAUACAAGGAAACCGCAUAGAUAGUGUGUUUAUCUGUUAACUGCUUCAAAUUGACUCAGCAUUAGGCAGCAAUUUUGGAAGUUGUUGCUUUCUCAGUAUGAAUGAGCUUCAAUGUUGGUGUUGCAGGUGUUACCCAUGUUACGUUGACUGUUUGGAUUCCUAUUCAUUAACAUUUCAAAACCAAAUUCAUCUUCUUAAAAUUGACUUGAAAGGAUUUGGAUCAUUCUAGGAACAUAUCUAUCAAAGAUGCAAAGCUCUAAUGGGAUUAAUUUAUCCGUCAAGUACGUUUUCAUUUGCAGUCUGUAUGUCCUUUCCGAAGGCUCUGCCAGAAGAAUAUGCUAAAUAAUGAAUUUAUGAAUCGCGUUCCUUGGUUGGGGCGAGAUACCGAAUAAAGUUUAAUGAUUGGAUGCACUA